RNAcentral lists this unclassified non-coding RNA (210 nucleotides) under uncultured Odontia. RNAcentral describes it as "sequence contains ITS1". The record is from RNAcentral. Lineage: Eukaryota; Fungi; Basidiomycota.
CCGAGUUGUCGAAACGGGCUGCUGCUGGCUCCUUUUGGGGGCAUGUGCACGCUUGUUCGCAUCCCAUCCUUCACACUUGUGCACUAUCUGUAGUUCUGAGCGGAGAGGUGCCUCGUUCACCUCAAAAGCUUGGUUCUAUGUUAUUUCCACGACCCUUCAGUUCAAUAGAAUGUGUUCACAGGCGCGUACGACGUCUGAUAACAAUAUAUA